Molecule: ribosomal RNA, 466 nt
Filed under: uncultured bacterium
Lineage: Bacteria
Description: partial 16S ribosomal RNA
Rfam family: Bacterial small subunit ribosomal RNA
Source: RNAcentral
GAUGAACGCUGGCGGCGUGCUUAACACAUGCAAGUCGAACGAUGAAGCCCAGCUUGCUGGGUGGAUUAGUGGCGAACGGGUGAGUAACACGUGAGUAACCUGCCCUUGACUCUGGGAUAAGCCUGGGAAACUGGGUCUAAUACUGGAUAUGACUUCUCAUCGCAUGGUGGGGGGUGGAAAGAUUUAUUGGUCUUGGAUGGACUCGCGGCCUAUCAGCUUGUUGGUGAGGUAAUGGCUCACCAAGGCGACGACGGGUAGCCGGCCUAAGAGGGUGACCGGCCACACUGGGACUGAGACACGGCCCAGACUCCUACGGGAGGCAGCAGUGGGGAAUAUUGCACAAUGGGCGCAAGCCUGAUGCAGCGACGCCGCGUGAGGGAUGACGGCCUUCGGGUUGUAAACCUCUUUCAGUAGGGAAGAAGCGAGAGUGACGGUACCUGCAGAAGAAGCGCCGGCUAACUACGUG